UGAUGACUGUGGCCCUACUUGGGAG
Molecule: non-coding RNA, 25 nt
Filed under: Mus musculus (house mouse)
Lineage: Eukaryota; Metazoa; Chordata; Mammalia; Rodentia; Muridae
Source: RNAcentral